UACGGGAGGAGCAGUGGGGAAUAUUGCACAAUGGGCGAAAGCCUGAUGCAGCUAUGCCGCGUGUAUGAAGAAGGCCUUAGGGUUGUAAAGUACUUUCAUCGGGGAGGAAAAAACAAAACUAAUAAUUUUAUUUCUUGACGUUACCCGAAAAAGAAGCACCGGCUAACUCCGUGCCAGCAGCCGCGGUAAUACGGAGGGUGCUAGCGUUAAUCAGAAUUACUGGGCGUAAAGAGCACGUAGGUGGUUUUUUUAAAUCAGAUGUGAAGUCCCUGGGCUUAACCUAGGAACUGCAUUUUGAAACUGAAAUACUAGAGUAUCGUAGAGGGAGGUAGAAUUCUAGGUGUAGCGGUGAAAUGCGUAGAUAUCUGGAGGAAUACCUGUGGCGAAAGCGGCCUCCUAAACGAAUACUGACACUGAGGGUGCGAAAGCGUGGGGAGCAAACAGGGAUUAGAUACC
This 456-nucleotide ribosomal RNA is filed under the name uncultured bacterium. RNAcentral's name for it is "bacterial SSU rRNA". It matches the Rfam family "Bacterial small subunit ribosomal RNA", at positions 340 to 786 of the family's 1533-position model. The record is from RNAcentral.